Long non-coding RNA from Lactuca sativa (garden lettuce), 401 nucleotides. RefSeq lists it as uncharacterized. The record is from RefSeq and is a predicted model, not a curated record. Lineage: Eukaryota; Viridiplantae; Streptophyta; Magnoliopsida; Asterales; Asteraceae.
AUAUGGAGGUCAUAACCAGUGAAACCACCAUCUCUAUGUAAACCACCGCAUCGACAUCUCUCUUCCUCCUACAUCUAUAGAAACCUUUACACCACAACCACUAAACCAUCAUUGUUGGUGUAUCUCUCUCUAAAACCAUCAUUAACCACCAUAUUCGAUUCAAUUUGUUAUUAGGGCUUCAGAAACCAUCCCCUACCAUCUUUGGAUCUAGAUCUGUGGUUUUGAAACAGAAAUCUUGAACUCGAAGAUGGUUGUAUAUGUCGUCACACCAGAUAAAUGGAAGUGGUUUCCAGUCAUGGGAAGCCCAUGAGACAUGUAUUUCUGGGUUAUUACAAGGUAGGCACUACGUUUUUUUUUUCUUUUUUUAUUUUAACUAUGCCUUUUUCCAGUUAGGUGUUUUU